AAAUGACCAUUAAGAAGUAGAUGCCCAGAUGCCAAAGUAAUGAAACAGUCAAUUUGUCAUAAGAUGCAGCUGUGGCUUUUCAACCAGAUUAGGACAAAAUUGUAUCUGUUUUUCUCAGAAGAGAAUUCCACAAGGACAGGUUUUCUUCAGUCCUUAAGGAUUCAGCUCCUUACAUGGGCUUUGGCAGAGGUCAUGAGGCAGCAUCUAUUGAUUUUACAAGAAGUUUGUUAGUGGACUGCCAGAACAGCUGUGUGAGGACACAUCAACCAUGACUGCAUUUGAUAUGAAACAUAAAAACUUGGUUAGGAUUCUUGACCUUAAGUUUUUUCUUUUGAGAAAGGUGAUACUGGUAGCACCUUUGUCUUACAGAGGCUUGUGCUUUCCUUGAGUAUUGCAGCUUGCUUUUUCCUUGAAUCCACGGAGCUGAGUCUCCCAAAACAGCCUUAUAGCUUUCCUUUUCUGUUGAGAAAAACCUCUGAAAAGAUUCCUCUUCUCUGAGUCUGUUAACAACGAUAUGAUUUUUUUCUUCUUUUGUUUAUUAACAUGGAGAAUUACUUCAUUUUUCCUAACAUUAGACCAACCUUUGAUACCUUAUAUGUUACCGCACUCAGUUUGCUAAUAUUUUAAGAAUUUCACGCUAAUAUUCAUGAAGGAUAUCAGCCUAUAAUUUUUUUUUUUUUAUAGGCUGUGCUCUUUUUUGGAUUUUCGUGUCAAGGUUAUACUAGUCUCAAAAUGAAUCAGAGAGGGUAUCUUCUUUGGAAGUCAGAGAGGGUAACUGUUCUUUGGAA
RNAcentral lists this long non-coding RNA (788 nucleotides) under Physeter macrocephalus (sperm whale). RNAcentral's name for it is "Physeter catodon (sperm whale) lncRNA (ENSPCTG00005003660.1)". The record is from RNAcentral. Lineage: Eukaryota; Metazoa; Chordata; Mammalia; Artiodactyla; Physeteridae.